RNAcentral lists this ribosomal RNA (430 nucleotides) under Pseudomonadota bacterium. RNAcentral's name for it is "Proteobacteria bacterium partial 16S ribosomal RNA". It matches the Rfam family "Bacterial small subunit ribosomal RNA", at positions 355 to 776 of the family's 1533-position model. The record is from RNAcentral. Lineage: Bacteria; Pseudomonadati; Pseudomonadota.
UGGGGAAUAUUGGACGAUGGGGGGAACCCUGAUCCAGCCAUGCCGCGUGUGUGAAGAAGGCCUUAUGGUUGUAAAGCACUUUAAGCGAGGAGGAGGGUACUGGUAUUAAUACUACCAGCUACUGGACGUUACUCGCAGAAUAAGCACCGGCUAACUCUGUGCCAGCAGCCGCGGUAAUACAGAGGGUGCGAGCGUUAAUCGGAUUUACUGGGCGUAAAGCGUGCGUAGGCGGCUAAUUGAGUCGGAUGUGAAAUCCCCGAGCUUAACUUGGGAAUUGCAUUCGAUACUGGUUAGCUAGAGUGUGGGAGAGGAUGGUAGAAUUCCAGGUGUAGCGGUGAAAUGCGUAGAGAUCUGGAGGAAUACCGAUGGCGAAGGCAGCCAUCUGGCCUAACACUGACGCUGAGGUACGAAAGCAUGGGGAGCAAACAGG